This 991-nucleotide long non-coding RNA is filed under the name Homo sapiens (human). RNAcentral's name for it is "non-protein coding lnc-ITGB8-6:5". Lineage: Eukaryota; Metazoa; Chordata; Mammalia; Primates; Hominidae. The record is from RNAcentral.
GAAGCUGCCUACAAGUUAAGCCUCACUUUUCUCUUCCACACAAUAGAGAAAUAAUAUUUUAAUCACCUAGUUUUUGUGAGAAGCAAAUAAUAUAAAGCUGCAUUAUAGAUGCUCACUAGCUGUUCUACAUCCUUUGCGUCUCAAUUUCCUCAUCUUUUAUUAAGCAGCUUGCAUUAAGUUAAGCUCUAAGAUCCUUUUCAAGUUUAAUAUAUGAUGACGGGCAUCAUAGUUUUGGGGCUGUCCAACAAAGGAUGUGUAUCAUAACUUAAUCAAGCAGCGACGGCCUUUGUUGUCCACCAUCACAGACUCAUCAUAAACCACCACCAGUUUUUCCAAUAUUAUCUAAACAUUGGAAAGAGAACUAUGAAAAGACAGAUAACUACGCUGCUUUUUGGACGACAAACUAACAAAUAUCUUAUAUUUUAUAUUAAAUAUCUUAUAUUAAAUAUCUUAUAUUUUAUAUAAGAUAUAAAAUAUUUAUAUAUAAACAUGUAAGAAAUAAAAAAUAUAUAAAUAUAUAAGAUAUAUAAGAUAUAAAAUAUUUAUAUAUAAAUAUAUGAAAUUAUAUAUCUUAUAUAUCUUGUAUAUUUCAUAUAAUAUAUAUUUCUAUAUUAUAUUAUAUUACAAUAUUAUAUAUUAAAAUAUAGUAAUAUAUAAUAUAUUAUAGUAUAUAUCAUAUAUAGUAUAUAAUAUAUAAUACAUUAUAGGAGUAAUAUAUAUAAUAUAUUUUAACAUAAUAUAUAAAUAUAUCAUAUAUGAUUAUAUAUAAAUAUUAUAAUUAUAUAUUAUAAUACAUAAAUAUAAUAUAUUAUAUAUAUUAUAAUACAUAAAUAUAAUAUAUUAUAUAUAUUAUAAUACAUAAAUAUAAUAUAUUAUAUAUAUUAUAAUACAUAAAUAUAAUAUAUUAUAUAUAUUAUAAUACAUAAAUAUAAUAUAUUAUAUAUAUUAUAAUACAUAAAUAUAAUAUAUUAUAUAUAUUAUGGAAGAAACA